UACGUAGGGAGCAAGCGUUGUCCGGAAUCAUUGGGCGUAAAGCGCGCGUAGGCGGCUCGGAAAGUCGGUCGUGAAAUGCCGGGGCUCAACCCCGGGACUGCGUCCGAUACUCCCGAGCUGGAGUACGGUAGGGGCAGAGGGAAUUUCCGGUGGAGCGGUGAAAUGCAUUGAGAUCGGAAAGAACACCAACGGCGAAAGCACUCUGCUGGGCCGACACUGACACUGAGAGACGAAAGCUAGGGGAGCAAAUGGG
Molecule: ribosomal RNA, 253 nt
Filed under: uncultured bacterium
Lineage: Bacteria
Description: partial 16S ribosomal RNA
Rfam family: Bacterial small subunit ribosomal RNA
Source: RNAcentral